AAUAGUUAGCUCAAUGGUACUAGAGUAGUCAGCAGGGCUGUGAAGUCUCGAGUAAAUAGUUUUGAGCUUUCUUCUCCUUCCUGCACUGGCCUGGGCUCCUCUAAGAAUUAUGCACUGGGACAGGGUCAUCACCAACUGCCUAGUCGCAGUGUUAGGGUAGGACACGGCAAGCAAUUAUGUAAAGAUGAGAAGUGACAAGAAUAUGAAUAAUACUAAAAAUAAUAAGCCAGAGAAAAAAAGGGAAAAAAAAUGUGCCCAGGAUAU
RNAcentral lists this unclassified non-coding RNA (264 nucleotides) under Hevea brasiliensis (rubber tree). The record is from RNAcentral. Lineage: Eukaryota; Viridiplantae; Streptophyta; Magnoliopsida; Malpighiales; Euphorbiaceae.